UACGAAGGGGGCUAGCGUUGCUCGGAAUCACUGGGCGUAAAGCGCACGUAGGCGGCUUUUUUAAGUCAGGGGUGAAAUCCUGGAGCUCAACUCCAGAACUGCCUUUGAUACUGGAGAGCUUGAGUCCGGGAGAGGUGAGUGGAACUCCGAGUGUAGAGGUGAAAUUCGUAGAUAUUCGGAAGAACACCAGUGGCGAAGGCGGCUCACUGGCCCGGUACUGACGCUGAGGUGCGAAAGCGUGGGGAGCAAACAGG
Molecule: ribosomal RNA, 254 nt
Filed under: uncultured bacterium
Lineage: Bacteria
Description: partial 16S ribosomal RNA
Rfam family: Bacterial small subunit ribosomal RNA
Source: RNAcentral